AACGAACGCUGGCGGCAGGCCUAACACAUGCAAGUCGAACGGACCUUUCGGGGGUUAGUGGCGGACGGGUGAGUAACGCGUGGGAAUAUGCCCUUCGGUUCGGAAUAGCCUCGGGAAACUGGGAGUAAUACCGGAUACGGUCUACGGACGAAAGAUUUAUCGCCGAAGGAUUAGCCCGCGUUGGAUUAGGUAGUUGGUGGGGUAAUGGCCUACCAAGCCGACGAUCCAUAGCUGGUUUGAGAGGAUGAUCAGCCACACUGGGACUGAGACACGGCCCAGACUCCUACGGGAGGCAGCAGUGGGGAAUCUUAGACAAUGGGGGAAACCCGUACGAUCUAGCCAUGCCGCGUGAUUGA
Molecule: ribosomal RNA, 356 nt
Filed under: uncultured bacterium
Lineage: Bacteria
Description: bacterial SSU rRNA
Rfam family: Bacterial small subunit ribosomal RNA
Source: RNAcentral